Molecule: transfer RNA, 83 nt
Filed under: Obscuribacter sp. (SeqCode)
Lineage: Bacteria; Bacillati; Candidatus Melainabacteria; Candidatus Obscuribacterales; Obscuribacteraceae (SeqCode)
Description: tRNA-Leu
Rfam family: tRNA
About the family: Transfer RNA (tRNA) molecules are approximately 80 nucleotides in length.
Source: RNAcentral
GGGCGAGUGGCGAAAUUGGCAGACGCGCUAGACUUAGGAUCUAGUCCGCAAGGGUGGAGGUUCAAGUCCUCUCUCGCCCACCA